Bos taurus (domestic cattle) is the source of this 422-nucleotide long non-coding RNA. NCBI's taxonomy places the organism in Eukaryota, Metazoa, Chordata, Mammalia, Artiodactyla, Bovidae. The record is from Ensembl.
GGAUGAGAUGGUUGGAUGGCAUCAGUGACUCAGUGGACAUGAGUUUGAGUAAACUCUGAGAGUUGGUGAUGGAUAGGGAGGCCUGGUGUGCUGCAGUCCAUGGGGUCGCAAAGAGUCGGACAUGACCAAGCGACUGAACGGAACUGAACUGAGAGACCUCUUUGCCCAGAAGAAAGUGGUGACGGGGGAAUGCAUCUAGUGCCCUGGCAAUGCAUUACUGACCCUCUGUUCUAGGUUUUGGGACACAGAGUGAAGUCUGCUCAGAUCCAUCUGUCUCCUUACUAUUUCAACCAAUAUACUCCCUCCUACAAAAAGUAUGUCUUCAGAAAGUGCACUCAGGUUGGAAAAGUGUGGAAAGAGCAGAUGAACUUAUUGUCAGUGGCCAUAUGAUCCCUCACUGUUCAUUGUCUUCAUCACUAAGU